UACGGGGGGGGCAAGCGUUGUUCGGAAUUACUGGGCGUAAAGGGCUCGUAGGCGGCCAACUAAGUCGGAUGUGAAAUCCCCAGGCUCAACCUGGGAACUGCAUCCGAUACUGGAUGGCUUGAAUCCGGGAGAGGGAUGCAGAAUUCCAGGUGUAGCGGUGAAAUGCGUAGAUAUCUGGGGGAAUACCGGUGGCGAAGGCGGCAUCCUGGACCGGCAUUGACGCUGAGGAGCGAAAGCCAGGGGAGCAAACGGG
Molecule: ribosomal RNA, 253 nt
Filed under: uncultured bacterium
Lineage: Bacteria
Description: partial 16S ribosomal RNA
Rfam family: Bacterial small subunit ribosomal RNA
Source: RNAcentral